Molecule: ribosomal RNA, 484 nt
Filed under: uncultured bacterium
Lineage: Bacteria
Description: partial 16S ribosomal RNA
Rfam family: Bacterial small subunit ribosomal RNA
Source: RNAcentral
AUUGAACGCUGGCGGCAGGCCUAACACAUGCAAGUCGAGCGGAUGAAGGGAGCUUGCUCCUGGAUUCAGCGGCGGACGGGUGAGUAAUGCCUAGGAAUCUGCCUGGUAGUGGGGGAUAACGUCCGGAAACGGGCGCUAAUACCGCAUACGUCCUGAGGGAGAAAGUGGGGGAUCUUCCGACCUCACGCUAUCAGAUGAGCCUAGGUCGGAUUAGCUAGUUGGUGGGGUAAAGGCCUACCAAGGCGACGAUCCGUAACUGGUCUGAGAGGAUGAUCAGUCACACUGGAACUGAGACACGGUCCAGACUCCUACGGGAGGCAGCAGUGGGGAAUAUCGGACAAUGGGCGAAAGCCUGAUCCAGCCAUGCCGCGUGUGUGAAGAAGGUCUUCGGAUUGUAAAGCACUUUAAGUUGGGAGGAAGGGCAGUAAGUUAAUACCUUGCUGUUUUGACGUUACCAACAGAAUAAGCACCGGCUAACUUCGUG